Molecule: ribosomal RNA, 253 nt
Filed under: uncultured bacterium
Lineage: Bacteria
Description: partial 16S ribosomal RNA
Rfam family: Bacterial small subunit ribosomal RNA
Source: RNAcentral
UACGUAGGGGGCAAGCGUUGUCCGGAAUCAUUGGGCGUAAAGCGCGCGUAGGCGGCCCGGUAAGUCCGUUGUGAAAGUCAAAGGCUCAACCUUUGAACGCCGAUGGAUACUGCCGGGCCAGAGUCCGGAAGAGGCGAGUGGAAUUCCUGGUGUAGCGGUGGAAUGCGCAGAUAUCAGGAGGAACACCAAUAGCGAAGGCAGCUCGCUGGGACGGUACUGACGCUGAGGCGCGAAAGCGUGGGGAGCGAACAGG